Zea mays is the source of this 101-nucleotide long non-coding RNA. RefSeq lists it as uncharacterized. The transcript has 2 exons. NCBI's taxonomy places the organism in Eukaryota, Viridiplantae, Streptophyta, Magnoliopsida, Poales, Poaceae. The record is from RefSeq and is a predicted model, not a curated record.
AGAAGGGAAUAUAUUAAGGCCUGAUAGAGUUGCUACUGCACAUAAGGGAGGUUCAGGUGAUCCUUUGUCCGCAGCAACAAAUGCUCACAAUGCUUCGAAAC